RNAcentral lists this RNase P RNA (338 nucleotides) under bovine gut metagenome. RNAcentral's name for it is "Bacterial RNase P class A". It matches the Rfam family "Bacterial RNase P class A", at positions 36 to 362 of the family's 367-position model. Rfam says of the family: Ribonuclease P (RNase P) is a ubiquitous endoribonuclease, found in archaea, bacteria and eukarya as well as chloroplasts and mitochondria. Its best characterised activity is the generation of mature 5'-ends of tRNAs by cleaving the 5'-leader elements of precursor-tRNAs. The record is from RNAcentral.
GCAAGGUGAGGAAAGUCCGGGCUUUACAGGGCAGGGUGCCGGAUAACGUCCGGCGGAGGCGACUCCCGGGAAAGUGCAACAGAAAGCAAACCGCCUGCAUUUGCAGGUAAGGGUGAAACGGCGGUGUAAGAGACCACCGCAUUUACGGUAACGUAAAUGGCAGUGUAAACCCCACCCAAAGCAAAACCAACAGAAAACGAUACGGCGGCCCGUCGUGUUUUCGGGUAGGUUGCGUUCUGCAGAUGUAAUGUCUGCAGAGGAGCCGUUUGGUAACAAACGGUCAAGAAAGAUGAUCAUCACGGUAAAUCCGUACAGAACCCGGCUUACAGUAUUACUCC